AUUACCAACAAAUUCAUGUGUUAAUUCGAGUGAUUUCGUCUCUAACUUGUCGGAGGAAACGUGAAAGGGACGUGGCCGUCGUGCAGCCUACCGUUUACUAUUUUGUUCAAAAUCAUUUUAUUCUACUGAAUGUGCCAUCGAAAGGAUACAGGAGUCAUAAUUAUCAACUGUUUGUAUUGGACUUGCUAGAUCACCAACAGCCCAGCAUAGACCAAUCUUUCAUUUCAUCUUCUCGAGAGAAGAUUAGAUAACUGGUGGUUUCAU
Long non-coding RNA from Daphnia pulex (common water flea), 264 nucleotides. RefSeq lists it as uncharacterized. The transcript is spliced from 3 exons. The record is from RefSeq and is a predicted model, not a curated record. Lineage: Eukaryota; Metazoa; Arthropoda; Branchiopoda; Diplostraca; Daphniidae.